UGCCUCCAUCAGUCUGCCUUCUUGGCCCCCCAAACAAAUCUUCCUCCCUGGGACCUCCUAAUCUCUCCCAUCCAGUCCCCGCUAGCACAUGUACCUAUGCCCAACAGCCGGGUGGCUGCUCGACUCUUUCCACCUGCCGAUCAAAGAGAUGAGAAGGAUAGGGCAUGUGGCGGCUAUCGCGCUGCCCCUGCUGGAGAAAUUGUCGGUGUUCUGCCUGAACGCGGGUAACAUAUGCCCGUGGUGCUGGUCCUCCGAGGGUCGGGCUGGUGGUGAGGCCGGGCAGGGCUCCGUUUAGAGCAACGGCUUGGAGGGGCGAUAGAUCCAUCUCCUCCCGCAGGUUCCGCCCCGGCUAAUUCACCGACCAUAUUAUACUGCAGGAAUGGUGGAAUUGCUUUUCCAAGCUGAUGCUAAGCGGAUAGCUGUUUUGGUGACUCUCCAAAUUUUGGAUGGUAUAGAAGGACGAGCUAAAAUAAAUGCUUCAGUUUGGGUUGGCUUGAUUCAACCUGUUUCAAAAUGAUAUACGUCUUGAGGAUAUGAGAGGGAAGAAGCAUGAUGGUGUGCAUUAUGCAUCGCUACAGGACUUCGCUGCAAAGCCUACUUCUUUCAGGGUACUGAAGUCGUCGUCUUCUUUCAUUCUUCUGGAGGACAAAUUAUACAUUGUGUGCUAGCUGGUAAUCAUUUUCUUCGGAAUAACUGGUUACUUCCAAUACAUGCAAUAGUCUGAAGGUAUAUGCAUAUUUACGUUUCUGAGUUCUCCACUCAAGCAUGGAUGAAGAUGUACAUGGAAAUGAUUAUGCAUAUUAUGAGAUCUAAAAUUUCAGACAAGUGCGGUCUUUCAAAUUUUCUCUAUUACCCACUUUGUUUCAAAUUCUCCUUUAAAGAAUGGAUGAAAACAUGAGAAUUAGGAAGCUAUUUUUUAUUUGAAAGCUUGGCAACAGCUCAAUGGUAGCGUAUAUUGGAAAACUUUAACCGGUUGGUUCUGCGGUAAUUGA
Molecule: long non-coding RNA, 992 nt
Organism: Triticum urartu
Lineage: Eukaryota; Viridiplantae; Streptophyta; Magnoliopsida; Poales; Poaceae
Source: RefSeq, a predicted model, not a curated record